This 1301-nucleotide ribosomal RNA is filed under the name Staphylococcus xylosus. RNAcentral's name for it is "bacterial SSU rRNA". Lineage: Bacteria; Bacillati; Bacillota; Bacilli; Caryophanales; Staphylococcaceae. The record is from RNAcentral.
UGCUAUCAUGCAGUCGAGCGAACGGACGAGAAGCUUGCUUCUCUGAUGUUAGCGGCGGAYGGGUGAGUAACACGUGGAUAACCUACCUAUAAGACUGGGAUAACUUCGGGAAACCGGAGCUAAUACCGGAUAAUAUUUUGAACCGCAUGGUUCAAAAGUGAAAGACGGUCUUGCUGUCACUUAUAGAUGGAUCCGCGCUGCAUUAGCUAGUUGGUAAGGUAACGGCUUACCAAGGCAACGAUGCAUAGCCGACCUGAGAGGGUGAUCGGCCACACUGGAACUGAGACACGGUCCAGACUCCUACGGGAGGCAGCAGUAGGGAAUCUUCCGCAAUGGGCGAAAGCCUGACGGAGCAACGCCGCGUGAGUGAUGAAGGUCUUCGGAUCGUAAAACUCUGUUAUUAGGGAAGAACAUAUGUGUAAGUAACUGUGCACAUCUUGACGGUACCUAAUCAGAAAGCCACGGCUAACUACGUGCCAGCAGCCGCGGUAAUACGUAGGUGGCAAGCGUUAUCCGGAAUUAUUGGGCGUAAAGCGCGCGUAGGCGGUUUUUUAAGUCUGAUGUGAAAGCCCACGGCUCAACCGUGGAGGGUCAUUGGAAACUGGAAAACUUGAGUGCAGAAGAGGAAAGUGGAAUUCCAUGUGUAGCGGUGAAAUGCGCAGAGAUAUGGAGGAACACCAGUGGCGAAGGCGACUUUCUGGUCUGUAACUGACGCUGAUGUGCGAAAGCGUGGGGAUCAAACAGGAUUAGAUACCCUGGUAGUCCACGCCGUAAACGAUGAGUGCUAAGUGUUAGGGGGUUUCCGCCCCUUAGUGCUGCAGCUAACGCAUUAAGCACUCCGCCUGGGGAGUACGACCGCAAGGUUGAAACUCAAAGGAAUUGACGGGGACCCGCACAAGCGGUGGAGCAUGUGGUUUAAUUCGAAGCAACGCGAAGAACCUUACCAAAUCUUGACAUCCUUUGACAACUCUAGAGAUAGAGCCUUCCCCUUCGGGGGACAAAGUGACAGGUGGUGCAUGGUUGUCGUCAGCUCGUGUCGUGAGAUGUUGGGUUAAGUCCCGCAACGAGCGCAACCCUUAAGCUUAGUUGCCAUCAUUAAGUUGGGCACUCUAAGUUGACUGCCGGUGACAAACCGGAGGAAGGUGNGGAUGACGUCAAAUCAUCAUGCCCCUUAUGAUUUGGGCUACACACGUGCUACAAUGGACAAUACAAAGGGCAGCGAAACCGCGAGGUCAAGCAAAUCCCAUAAAGUUGUUCUCAGUUCGGAUUGUAGUCUGCAACUCGACUACAUGAAGCUGGAA